AUACGGAGGGUGCAAGCGUUAAUCGGAAUUACUGGGCGUAAAGCGCACGUAGGCGGUUUAGUAAGUCGGAUGUGAAAGCCCAGGGCUCAACCUUGGAAUUGCAUUCGAUACUGCUUAACUAGAGUAUGGUAGAGGGAAGUGGAAUUUCCGGUGUAGCGGUGAAAUGCGUAGAUAUCGGAAGGAACACCAGUGGCGAAGGCGACUUCCUGGGCCAAUACUGACGCUGAGGUGCGAAAGCGUGGGGAGCAAACAGGAUUAGAUACCCCAGUAGUCC
Molecule: ribosomal RNA, 274 nt
Filed under: uncultured bacterium
Lineage: Bacteria
Description: partial 16S ribosomal RNA
Rfam family: Bacterial small subunit ribosomal RNA
Source: RNAcentral